RNAcentral lists this ribosomal RNA (433 nucleotides) under Polycheles typhlops. Its description in RNAcentral is "partial 16S ribosomal RNA". It matches the Rfam family "Archaeal large subunit ribosomal RNA", at positions 2011 to 2630 of the family's 2987-position model. The record is from RNAcentral. Lineage: Eukaryota; Metazoa; Arthropoda; Malacostraca; Decapoda; Polychelidae.
CGGUAUAUUGACCGUGCGAAGGUAGCAUAAUCAUUAGUCUUUUAAUUGGAGGCUGGAAUGAAUGGUUUUACAAGAAGUUUACUGUCUUUAAAUUAAUAUUUGAAUUUAACUUUUAAGUGAAAAGGCUUAAAUGAUUAAAAGGGACGAUAAGACCCUAUAAAACUUUACAUGGGAGAUAUUUAAAGAAAUUAUUUAUGUUUAAAUUUGAGAAGUAUAAAAAAGUGUUUUGUUGGGGCGACAAAAAUAAAAUAUAGGUUUGUAACUGUUUAAAAUUUAAAAAUCAAAUAAUUUUUGAAAAGAAGAUGUGGUCCUUAAAAAAGAGUAAAAGAGUAAGUUACUUUAGGGAUAACAGCGUUAUUUUUUUGGAGAGUUCUUAUCAAUAAAAAAGAUUGCGACCUCGAUGUUGAAUUAAAAUUUCUUUAUAAUGCAGAGG